This 440-nucleotide ribosomal RNA is filed under the name uncultured bacterium. RNAcentral's name for it is "partial 16S ribosomal RNA". It matches the Rfam family "Bacterial small subunit ribosomal RNA", at positions 338 to 795 of the family's 1533-position model. The record is from RNAcentral.
CCUACGGGUGACAGCAGUAGGGAAUUUUGCGCAAUGGGCGAAAGCCUGACGCAGCAACGCCGCGUGAUCGAGACGCCCUUCGGGGUGUAGAGAUCUGUCCGUGGGGACGGAACUUGACGGUACCCACCGAUGCAGCACCGGCUAACUCCGUGCCAGCAGCCGCGGUAAUACGGGGGGUGCACGCGUUGUCCGGAAUCAUUGGGCGUAAAGAGUUCGUAGGAGGCACGUAAAGUCUGGUGGUAAAGGCAGAGGCGCAACUUCUGUACGGCACUGGAUACUUGCGAGCUAGAAUGCGGUAGAGGUAAAGAGAAUUCCUGGUGUAGCGGUGAAAUGCUUAGAUAUCAGGAGGAACAUCGGUGGCGUAAGCGCUAUACUGGGCCGUAAUUGACGCUGAGGAACGAAAGCCAGGGUAGCAAAUGGGAUUAGAUACCCGAGUAGUC